Molecule: ribosomal RNA, 425 nt
Filed under: uncultured bacterium
Lineage: Bacteria
Description: partial 16S ribosomal RNA
Rfam family: Bacterial small subunit ribosomal RNA
Source: RNAcentral
GUGGGGAAUCUUAGACAAUGGGCGCAAGCCUGAUCUAGCCAUGCCGCGUGAGCGAUGAAGGCCUUAGGGUUGUAAAGCUCUUUCGUGGGGGAAGAUAAUGACUGUACCCCAAGAAGAAGCCCCGGCUAACUCCGUGCCAGCAGCCGCGGUAAUACGGAGGGGGCUAGCGUUGUUCGGAAUUACUGGGCGUAAAGCGCACGUAGGCGGACUGGAAAGUCAGGGGUGAAAUCCCGGGGCUCAACCUCGGAACUGCCUUUGAAACUCCUGGUCUUGAGGUCGAGAGAGGUGAGUGGAAUUCCGAGUGUGGAGGUGAAAUUCGUAGAUAUUCGGAGGAACACCAGUGGCGAAGGCGGCUCACUGGCUCGAUACUGACGCUGAGGUGCGAAAGCGUGGGGAGCAAACAGGAUUAGAUACCCGAGUAGUCC